This 259-nucleotide ribosomal RNA is filed under the name uncultured bacterium. RNAcentral describes it as "partial 16S ribosomal RNA". It matches the Rfam family "Bacterial small subunit ribosomal RNA", at positions 793 to 1055 of the family's 1533-position model. The record is from RNAcentral.
GUCCAUGCCGUAAACGAUGUCUACUAGCCGUUGGGUCUUUGAGACUUUAGUGGCGCAGCUAACGCGAUAAGUAGACCGCCUGGGAGUACGGUCGCAAGACUAAACUCAAAUGAAUUGACGGGGCCCGCACAAGCGGUGGAGCAUGUGGUUUAAUUCGAUGCAACGCGAAGAACCUUACCUGGUCUUGACAUAGUAAGAACUUUCCAGAGAUGGAUUGGUGCCUUCGGGAACUUACAUACAGGUGCUGCAUGGCUGUCGU